GCCUUUGGAUAGCCUUGCCCCUGGGGUAUGACGUAAGGCUUCACCGACACCUGCUGUCACACAAAGGAUUUGCCCACACUGGUGUCAUCUGUCACUUCCAUGAUGUCCUUGCAAAGGACUCCUUGCCUUGUCCACCUCCUGAGAGGGUAGGCCUCACUCAGCAAGGUUCUGGCGCAGGAUGGAAAGAGAGGAGACACUGAGGGAAUAUGAGGAGAGAAAGAAGUCUCUUACACUACCACGGACAGAGUCGGGGAAACUUCAAUGCAUCCGGUAAAUCCCAGAUUGCCUGCGGAGUCAAUGUUCCCAUUUCCAAGAGAUGCAUCGGAUGUUAAAAACAGUAAAUAAGACGUGCUCACUCGGGGCUGGAAUGUUUGUAAUCUUGAGUUUUACUGUAUUGGCAUUCCUCCCUCAUCCCUAAAUCUAAACAGUGAACCUCACAAAAUAGCCCUGUAAUUUCAUUUCCAACAAUAAGAAAAAUAACAAAACCA
Mesocricetus auratus (golden hamster) is the source of this 488-nucleotide long non-coding RNA. RefSeq lists it as uncharacterized. The transcript is spliced from 2 exons. The record is from RefSeq and is a predicted model, not a curated record. Lineage: Eukaryota; Metazoa; Chordata; Mammalia; Rodentia; Cricetidae.